This 303-nucleotide long non-coding RNA is filed under the name Elaeis guineensis (African oil palm). RNAcentral describes it as "long non-coding RNA (EGUI_LNC035259)". The record is from RNAcentral. Lineage: Eukaryota; Viridiplantae; Streptophyta; Magnoliopsida; Arecales; Arecaceae.
AGCAUCGUGUUGUUUGCAAGCCCGCAUCUCACAGGUCCGUAUUAAGAUAAACCGCGAUGGAAGGCAAAAAUUUUGGAACUGUCGAAGUUGUUUCUCGAGGUCCCACAUCUCUACCGGUAUCCAGAAUAAAGAUAGAAAGAGAUAGCAGAGAUCUCAUCAACAGUAUCUAUGACGGCCAUAUCAUAUCUAGGCUGAUAUCCAGGACCAUAACAAGAUCCCGGGCGAUGGAGAUAUGGUUAAAUAACAAUCUAUUUUGAAAUUUAAAUAUUAAAAUAUUAAUAGAUAAAAAAAUUUCCAAACCUG